Molecule: ribosomal RNA, 474 nt
Filed under: uncultured bacterium
Lineage: Bacteria
Description: bacterial SSU rRNA
Rfam family: Bacterial small subunit ribosomal RNA
Source: RNAcentral
CGCUUUCACUCCUACGGGAGGCAGCAGUAGGGAAUCUUCCACAAUGGACGAAAGUCUGAUGGAGCAACGCCGCGUGAACGAUGAAGGCCUUCGGGUCGUAAAGUUCUGUUGUAAGGGAAGAACAAGUGCCGCAGGCAAUGGCGGCACCUUGACGGUACCUUGCGAGAAAGCCACGGCUAACUACGUGCCAGCAGCCGCGGUAAUACGUAGGUGGCAAGCGUUGUCCGGAAUUAUUGGGCGUAAAGCGCGCGCAGGCGGCCUCUUAAGUCUGAUGUGAAAGCCCCCCGGCUCAACCGGGGAGGGCCAUUGGAAACUGGGAGGCUUGAGUAUAGGAGAGAAGAGUGGAAUUCCACGUGUAGCGGUGAAAUGCGUAGAGAUGUGGAGGAACACCAGUGGCGAAGGCGACUCUUUGGCCUAUAACUGACGCUGAGGCGCGAAAGCGUGGGGAGCAAACAGGAUUAGAUACCCUGGUAG